AGCUGGCGAAUGCUCAUUGGCUCUCGCGUGCUUCCUCAACCUCAACGGUUGUAUCUUGCGUUUGAAUAACAAGCGCGCCACAAAGCAACUCGAGAUUUAAAGCGUACGAUUUUAAUUCUACUCUGAGCUUCACGCAGAAUUAUUGAACUUUGCCAGAGUCAGGACUCACCUGGAAACACUGUCCUGGGAGAAAGAAAGUUUAAAGUUCUUACACAGCAGAGGAAGGAUGAAACCGGAGUUUUGCCAUGAAGACAAGCGGACUGUUGAGAAGCAGGUGCAUCGUGGGAUUGUACGUGAAGAUGAUCUGGAAGAAGACCCGUUGAUAAAUCUGGAAAGUUCCAUUGUUUCAGUGAAAGGUCGAGUCCAAUAAUUUCUGCAGAACAAUGACGAAACAGUGGAAAAUACUGAGGAUGUAUCAUGGUGCACAGAAAGGGCACGCGCGUAGAUUCGAGUUGCCAGUGUUGUUGUUAUUAUUAGACUGCAGGACUGGAGUAUGAAGUCUUCAGCAAAUGCACUCACCAAGUUUUUUUUUUCGGCCAGAUGUGUCUAUAGCCUAUUGCUGGAACGGAACUAAUGAUUGGUUUUUAAAUAAUUUACAUUUUGCAGUUAAAAAGUAUUGCUAGAUCGAUCAGGCCAAUUCCCUUUGUAUUUCUCUCUCUCUCUACUGUAAAAAUCUCCAAAAUGGCAUUCAAAUGUCACAAGUGAUCAAUAUUUUCAUUUUUUACGAAAAAAAAAAAGUUUGAAACUACAUCAAAGCUAAAUUGCGUGUUUCAUAAUUAGCUGGGACAAUAAAAGUAUUGAGUCAAACUAACAUUUUAUCGCGUGGAUAUAAGUUGCAUAUAAAACCCCUUGAGAUGUGUGAUACCCUUUAAUUAUUGCUAUAGCCUAUAUAUAUAUAUAUAUAUAUAUAUAUAUAUAUAUGUGUGUGUGUGUGUGUGUGUGUGUGUAUGUAUGUCAUGCUUCUAGUUAAGGAUCUUCACAGUAAUAAAAUGGUGUUUAAAUGCA
Long non-coding RNA from Carassius gibelio (silver crucian carp), 1005 nucleotides. RefSeq lists it as uncharacterized. The transcript has 2 exons. NCBI's taxonomy places the organism in Eukaryota, Metazoa, Chordata, Actinopteri, Cypriniformes, Cyprinidae. The record is from RefSeq and is a predicted model, not a curated record.